RNAcentral lists this ribosomal RNA (57 nucleotides) under Chrysopogon zizanioides (vetiver). RNAcentral describes it as "partial 28S ribosomal RNA". Lineage: Eukaryota; Viridiplantae; Streptophyta; Magnoliopsida; Poales; Poaceae. The record is from RNAcentral.
CGACCCCAGGUCAGUCGGGACUACCCGCUGAGUUUAAGCAUAUCAAUAAGCGGAGGA